GUUGUUAUUUGAUUAGCAUAGUCCUUGACCCAAGUUAUAAUAAAAUGUGUCAGCCUAGUUAUUUCUUUAAAUUGUUCAUCCGUUGACUAAGCACGUGGUAGCUUUAGUGGGAUAAAUUUUAUUGAGUUUAAUGCUCAUGUAGGCCUCGAUCGGACCCGAUAAGUAUUAUUUUGUUCCACGCUAAUUUAGCACUUGUCGAUUACUGCAUAUUUUGAAAUCUAGUUAUGUUCUAAUCCCUUUUUGUUUGCCUCUGGAUGCUACUGGAAAGAGAAAAAGAAACUUUGUACCUGUUUUAAUUCACCGCAUCAAUAUUUAGUGUCA
This 321-nucleotide unclassified non-coding RNA is filed under the name Hevea brasiliensis (rubber tree). Lineage: Eukaryota; Viridiplantae; Streptophyta; Magnoliopsida; Malpighiales; Euphorbiaceae. The record is from RNAcentral.